UGAUGUUCUUGAAGAAAUACAUGCUGAGGAUGAACGUACUACAGAUAUGAAUGAAGAGAGAAACACAUUCUAUGACUGCGAAGCUGACGUCUGUUUAGACGACAUGGAUGUCUCUGGUACAGAUCCGCGAGGAGAUAGAGACCAAGGGGGUUCCUCAUCUUCAAACAAGAGAAAGAAGAAAUCUGAUGCUCGUGAUAAUGUGUAUGCUUCAUUUGAGGAGGCUGCCACCUUGUUGGGGGAAAAAAUCCAGGCCGUUGGCGAUAGAAUCAGUAUGAGUAUUUCCUCCGAGGUGGUAGUUCAGCAGAAGUCUGAAGAAAAGAUGGAAGAGAAAGCUUCAAAUUUAUAUUCAGCCUUAUGGUCAAUUGAAGGUUUAAGCGACGAUCAGCGGUAUGAUGCUUUGACUAAAAUUCCCGAUCAUCCAACUCAAAUGAUCGUUUUCUUCAGUUUACCUUCUGUUGCCCGAUUGGAAUGGGUCAGAAGAUUUCUUUCUCACCAUUAAAUAUCAAUGUUCAAACUUUUUGAUGUUGUAAAACUUUUGAACAUAUGGAUUAUGAUGUACAAUUUCAUUUUCAUCUAACUUUUUGUUAGUAUAAAUUAAUUAUGUUUAUGCAGAAUAUAAUUUUCAAGUUAUAUAUUUAAUAAUAAUUAUGUUAAUUAAUAUUUUACAGUAUCAUAUAUUAUGAUUUGAGUAAAUUAAUAUAUUUAAUAAUAAUUAUUAAGAAUUUUAUUAAAUUAUAUAGUUUAAUUAAAAUAUAUUUAAUAAUAAUUAUGUUAAUUUAUAUUUUACAGUAUCAUAUAUUAUGAUUUGAGUAAAUUAAUAUAAGAAUAUUAAUUAUUAAGAAUUUUAUUAAAUCAAAUAUUUUAAUUAAAAUAUAUUUAAUAAUAAUUAUGUUAAUUUAUAUUUUACAGUAUCAUAUAUUAUGAUUUGAGUAAAUUAAUAUAAGAAUAUUAAUUAUUAAGAAUUUUAUUAAAUCAAAUAUUUUAAUUAAAAUAUAUUUAAUAAUAAUUAUGUUAAUUUAUAUUUUACAGUAUCAUAUAUUAUGAUUUGAGUAAAUUAAUAUAAGAAUAUUAAUUAUUAAGAAUUUUAUUAAAUUAUAUAGUUUAAUUAAAAUAUAUUUAAUAAUAAUUAUGUUAAUUUAUAUUUUACAGUAUCAUAUAUUAUGAUUUGAGUAAAUUAAUAUAAGAAUAUUAAUUAUUAAGAACAUAUUGAUUAUGACGUACAAUUUCAUUUUCAUCUAACUUUUUGUUAGUAUAAUUAAUUAUGUUUAUGCAGAAUAUAAUUUUCAAGUUAUAUAUUUAAUAAUUAUGUUAAUUUAUAUUUUACAGUAUCAUAUAUUAUGAUUUGAGUAAAUUAAUAUAUUAAUAAUUAUUAAGAAUUUUAUUAAAUUAUAUAGUUUAAUUAAAUAUAUUUAAUAAUAAUUAUGUUAAUUUAUAUUUUGCAAUAUCAUAUAUUAUGAUUUGAGUAAAUUAAUAUAAGAAUAUUAAUUAUUAAUAAUUUUAUUAAAUCAAAUAUUUUAAUUAAAAUAUAUUUAAUUAUGAUUAAAUUAUUUAUUAUUGAUAAUAAUAAUCUUAUUAUAAUUUAAAUAACAAUAACAAUAAUCAUUUACCAAAACAAAUUUAUACUAAGGGUAUUCUAGUCAUUUUAGUUUUUUCCAUUAUGCUAUUACACCUCUAUUCCAUUCAACCAAACACAAGAUUACUAUUACGCCUCUAUUCCAUUACAUUCAACCAAACAGUUGAUUUGCUAUUACACCUCUAAUCUAAUACAGCGAACCAAACGCACCCUAAAUAGAGUAGAGUCGAGUCCCACAAAAAUCGAAUAAAAAUAAAUAAAUUCUACUGUGACUAAAAAUUAAUUGUGACACAACUAUAUAGGCGGUUUAAUUAUUAUUAAAACAAUAAAAUAAAUAUAAACAAGAGAAAUCAAAUGAAAAUUAGCAUAAAUUCAAAAUAAGAAAGAGCUAAUAUCAUGAAAACUUGAGGCUUACGUGUGAUGCCAGCCUCGGCGGUGGGAUUGAUAAUAUAUUAUAAAAUGUCUUCUAUUAAAUGAUAAUUUAGUUAUAGUUAGAUUUAGUCAUGAGUUGAGUUAUUAGUCCAGAUUUGAAGGUCUACUCAAACAGUGAAAGAUUUUAGGUAAAAAUAUAGGCUUAAAAAAUAGGUUUAGACAAAAAAAAAGACUCGUUUUCUAAAUAGGGCAGGUUUUGAGUAGAAUUUUUUGGCUCGAGUCUUGCCCGACUCAAAUAAGCUAUUUUUUUGUUAUUUUGUUGUUGUUUCAUUGUUGUUUUGCUAUCAUUUUACUAUUAUAUUACUAUUAUUUUGUUGUUAUUAUUUGAAUAUGAUAUAUCUUUUGUUUUAUUGUUAAUUUUGUUAUUAUUUUAGAGACAAUUGUUUGUUAAGUUAUAAUUAUUUUAAUAUUAUUUAAAUAUAAAUAUUUUAAAUAUAUUUUAAAUUUGUUAAAAAAUAUUUAUUUUAAUUUUUAAUGAAUUUAAUAUAUUAUACUUUUUAAAUUUAUUUUUAUAAAAGAAUAGUUUAAAAAUUUUAAUAGGGAGUAGUGGGAUCAGAUUCGGGUUUAAGUAUAUAUUAUAGAUGUGUAAAUUUAUCAAAAUUGAAUUGUUAUUAUAUCUGUGAAGACGUAGCCAGUUAGGUUUGGAACAGGAUUGUUUUUACUUUGUUUUGGGGGGGUUAUAGUCAAAGAUGAUUGUUAUUUAUGUUGGCUGAGGUGGUUGAAUUGUUCUGGUCGCAUCAAGGCUUGUCAAAACCUCAAUAUGACUUCAUAUCUAUCUCUUCACAUUAAAUUAUUAUAAAAAGAAGAAUAGCCACUUGUUUAAGAGUCUUUUAAUUAUUUGGUUGGGAUUAAAGUACAAGUUAAUAUAAAUUUACUUUUUAAUUAUUAUAUUAGUUUUAAAUUUUCACAUUAAAUCAUUCAAAACUUUUGUUUGGUUAACGAUGUAUUUGUAAAGGUCUAAAAUCUCGCUUAAAAAGUAAGAGAAUUUGGGUAAAAAUAUAAGUUAGAAAAUGAAUUUGGAUAAAAAAUAAUACAUGUUUUUAGACGGGUUGGACCUCGAAUAAGAUUGUUUUGUCCGAGUCCGGUCCGAAUCAGCCUAAAUUUUUUUCUGCUACUGUUUUGCUGUCAUUUCAUUAUUGUUUUGCUAUUAUUUAUUGUUAUUGUUUGAAUAUUGUAUAACUUUUAUUUUAUUGUUAAUUUUACUACUAUUUUAGAGGCAUUUGUCUUAGUAUUAUUUAAGUCUAAAACUUUUUUUAACAUAGUUUUAAUUUGUUAGGAAACAUUUAUUUUAAUAUUUUUAGUGUAUUUGAUAUAUUAUAUUUUUUAAAUUUAUUUUUAUAUAAAAAUAAUAUAAUGAAAUUAAUAUAGGUAGGUCGGAUUGAAUUCGAGUUCAACAUUUUUAAUCUAGAUCGUAGUUUGGACAAAUUUUAAGCCUAUUUUUCAAUUCGAACUAAACCCAAACCUAAAAUACAAGUCUAAAAUUUUAGAUCGAUCUAUCCAGCCCAAAAUCAUUUGUAAUUAACAGUGACUGGAAAAAAAUUUCAUGGAACCAAUGGAAAAGUUAGUAGAAGGGAGAAGCAGACGCAUAAAUGAAUGGUAGGGAUUCCAUAACCAUUUACAACCACAAGCUAUUUAAGUAACCAAUCUCUGCCACUUCUCCAAAUGAAAGGAACAAUGUUUAUAUGAGAAUAUAUUAUAUUAAUCUUUGUUAUUUUACAAUCUAAAUAAACAAAAAGUCAAAAACUUAAUAAAGAAAAGUAGGGAAAUAAUUUAAGUAAUAGACGUUACCUUUGUGUUGACAAUGGAAAGAAGGCUUAAGGUAGUCAUAUCUGCCUCUAGAGAUAAGCCUUUCCCAUCCACUCGAUGAAAUGUGAGAGAACUUAAGAAGGUAGUUAUUAAAUAAAAAGUUUUGAUAUUAUGUUCCUCCGAAGGUAAUGUAACAUCAAAAGCUUACAUUCCUAUCAAAUAAAUUUAUAUGUCGAAAAUUUAAAGAUAGAACACUUAUGGAGGAAUACCAUUCACAUCGAUUUGGAGGCAAUCACAGAACAAAGUAUAACCUGCAACUUUAUUUAUUUGAAUAAACUUGCAGCUUUAAUCUAAAUGCUCACAAGGUGGGGUUUUGAUAGUAGUAUAUGGAAGGAAGCAGGGAACUGAAAGAAAAAGACUUUGGAAGCAUCUUUUGAGGUUCGGCAAAAGGUGACAAAUUCAGUAUGAUUGUGAUUUGGAGGAGAGUUUUUAUUUAAAUGAGG
Molecule: long non-coding RNA, 4254 nt
Filed under: Gossypium barbadense (sea-island cotton)
Lineage: Eukaryota; Viridiplantae; Streptophyta; Magnoliopsida; Malvales; Malvaceae
Description: long non-coding RNA (GBAR_LNC021015)
Source: RNAcentral